RNAcentral lists this ribosomal RNA (253 nucleotides) under uncultured bacterium. Its description in RNAcentral is "partial 16S ribosomal RNA". It matches the Rfam family "Archaeal small subunit ribosomal RNA", at positions 474 to 727 of the family's 1478-position model. The record is from RNAcentral.
UACCAGCACCCCGAGUGGUCGGGACGUUUAUUGGGCCUAAAGCAUCCGUAGCCGGUUCUGCAAGUCUUCCGUUAAAUCCACCUGCUUAACAGAUGGGCCGCGGAAGAUACUAUAGAGCUAGGAGGCGGGAGAGGCAAGCGGUACUCGAUGGGUAGGGAUAAAAUCCGUUGAUCCAUUGAAGACCACCAGUGGCGAAGGCGGCUUGCCAGAACGCGCUCGACGGUGAGGGAUGAAAGCUGGGGGAGCAAACCGG